GACGAACGCUGGCGGCGUGCUUGACACAUGCAAGUCGAACGGAAAGGCCUGCUUUCCCUUGUGGAUUGCGGGUACUCGAGUGGCGAACGGGUGAGUAACACGUGAGUGAUCUGCCCCCAACUUGGGUAUAAGCCUGGGAAACUGGGUCUAAUUCCCGAUAGGACUGCAGGGUGGUGCCUGUGGUGGAAAACGAUUUUCUAGUGGUUGGGGAUGAGCUCGCGGCCUAUCAGCUUGUUGGUGGGGUAAUGGCCUACCAAGGCGGCGACGGGUAGCCGGCCUGGGGGGGUGGACGGCCACGUUGGGACGGGGGUACGGCCCAGACUCCUACGGGGGGCAGCAGUGGGGAAUAUUGCACAAUGGGCGGAAGCCUGAGGCAGCGACGCCGCGUGGGGGAUGACGGCCUUCGGGUUGUAAACCCCUUUCGACCGGGGGGAAGCCACCUGGUGGGAAGGGUGGGGGCGGUAGUGGUAGAAGAAGCCCCGGCUAACUCCGG
This 493-nucleotide ribosomal RNA is filed under the name uncultured bacterium. RNAcentral describes it as "partial 16S ribosomal RNA". It matches the Rfam family "Bacterial small subunit ribosomal RNA", at positions 28 to 506 of the family's 1533-position model. The record is from RNAcentral.